RNAcentral lists this long non-coding RNA (418 nucleotides) under Brassica napus (rape). Its description in RNAcentral is "long non-coding RNA (BNAP_LNC012558)". Lineage: Eukaryota; Viridiplantae; Streptophyta; Magnoliopsida; Brassicales; Brassicaceae. The record is from RNAcentral.
CAAUAUAGAUGUGUUAUUAAUAUUACCUGAUUGCCCUUAAUGAAACAUGCAAUGUUAAUAAAGAAAUGACAGACUAAGGUAAAAAGGACAAUAGGAUUCUGCUUUAAUAGUAUAGAUAUUACAGUUAAAUUAAGAGAAAAAUGAGCAUAACAUGAUGUCAUAUUUCAUAAAACAUUAAUUAUGGGGCAUGGAUUGUAUCAUUACUCUCCCAUGACCCUCUUGGAAUGCUGUGGUGGUUAUUAACGUCGGCCUCAACUUCCUCUCCUGCUAUCUUCUCCGCCAUCAGGAUUCUUUGUGCUCCGGCAACAAGCAGCUCCUCCGGCAAUUAAUAGUCGUAGCGACGACCAUUACCACAAGCAAUAAGAGGGAUAAAGCUUUGGUCUUCUUCAUGGCUCUUACUUAGCUUUUUUAAUAAUUC